Molecule: ribosomal RNA, 1179 nt
Filed under: Triticum aestivum (bread wheat)
Lineage: Eukaryota; Viridiplantae; Streptophyta; Magnoliopsida; Poales; Poaceae
Description: partial small subunit ribosomal RNA
Source: RNAcentral
AUGCCUAUCACUAUUAGUGACCAUGCUCCCAUUCUUGUCUCUACAGAAGGCAAGUUUAAAAAGCCUUUGCAAAAUUUUAAAUUUGAGAAUUGGUGGCUUAUGAAAGAAGAUUUUCAACCUUGUGCAAAAUCUGCUUGGCAAAGCACUGCUCAUAGGCCUUUUUAUGCAAGGACUAACCACCUUGCAGGAACAUUGAAGGAAUGGUGUAGAAAGAAAAAACCAAUUAACCAGGAACUCAAUCUAUUGGAGGAGCAAAUAAAAAAUAUACAAAUGAAGCCGAUGCAGGAACAAAAUCAUAAGCUUGAAGCAUCUCUCAUGAACAGGUAUGAAGAAAAUCUAACAAAGUUGACAGAAUUUUACAGCCAAAGGGCAAAAAAACAUUGGGCAACUAAAGGAGACAGGAACACAAGUUACUUUCAUAAUGCUGUCAUCAAGCGCAGAAGAAAGAAUCAGAUUGUUUCAAUUACAGAUACUAAUAAUGUGACUCAUUUUAAUCCUGAAAAAAUUGCUCAUGUAUUUGUGGACUAUUUCAAACAAAAUUUCCAGACUAAUAAUGCAGAUCAUGGAAGGCCAUACCUACGAACUCAACCAGAUGCUCAUCAGCAAGAUCCUACUACUAGUAUUCCCGACAAGCAGGAGAUUUGGCAGAUACUAAAUGAGAUGAGAAGAAAUGCUUCACCAGGCCCAGAUGGACUAAAUGUAGCCUUCUAUAUAGCAGCAUGGGAAUGGAUUGGAGAUGAUGUAACUGAUUUGGUGAUGCAACAGGAAGGAGAGCCGCAGCCAAGGGUCAUUGCAGACAAUACAAAAGCCCUUUUAAAGCAGAUAUGGAAGGCCAAAGACAUUGCACCGAGGGUUCAAACAUUUGCAUGGAGGCUAAUUAGAAAAGCGCUUCCAACAGGUAAAAGAGCAGGUAAAUAUUCGAAGCAUAUAGAUAAAGAAUGCUCAAGAUGCAGUGCUGAAGAAGAUGAACAACAUAUCUUUUUUACUUGUCCUUAUGCUAGAGCAGCUUGGUUUGCAAAACCAUGGUACAUUAGAAUGGACAACUUUAUUAGUAAUUCCACUUCAAUCAUCACCAUUAUUUUAAAUCUGCUCAGUUCAGACCAUCCUCAUGCAAGUUUAACCAAUAUUUUCACAUUCAUGUGGUGUCUAUGGAAAGUUAGAAAUGAGAAGCUUUUCUAA